This 84-nucleotide transfer RNA is filed under the name archaeon CG10_big_fil_rev_8_21_14_0_10_43_11. RNAcentral's name for it is "tRNA-Leu". It matches the Rfam family "tRNA". From Rfam's summary of the family: Transfer RNA (tRNA) molecules are approximately 80 nucleotides in length. The record is from RNAcentral.
GCGGGGAUUGCCGAGUGGUCAAAGGCGCAGGACUCAAGAUCCUGUGAGUUAGUCUCUUCGUGGGUUCGAAUCCCUCUCCCCGCA